CUUCAUGUCUACUUAUUCUGUUCAGAUUAUCAUUCACUCGCACUUAUAGUUUUGUGUCUUUUCUGUGUCUGUCUGAAAUGGAAAGAGACUGUGCAAUCACAUACUCUCACUUUCACUUAUGGAUGUGUGUGCAUUGCCAGAGAGAUAAAAUGAUUUAAAUUUGGGAAGUAGAUUGAAUCAGAAAGUAAUGUAGAGAUUAAGAAGCUCUUUGAAGCCUGGUGCAGAUAGAAUGGUGAACAAAGAGAUAAGGUGUGUGAGUGAGAGAGAGUUAUUACUUGAAGCCUUGAAGGAGAAGGGAAAGGACUCUAUGAGCUCUUCUCACAACUUUAAGGGUUGGUUGUUAACAUGA
Non-coding RNA from Lupinus albus (white lupine), 349 nucleotides. The record is from the annotation of a GenBank genome assembly. Lineage: Eukaryota; Viridiplantae; Streptophyta; Magnoliopsida; Fabales; Fabaceae.